GACGAACGCUGGCGGCGUGCUUAACACAUGCAAGUCGAACGGAAAGGCCCUGCUAGUUUGCGGUUCUCGAUUGCCGAUCGCGUGCGUAACAGGAGAGCAACCUGCUCUAGACUUUCGGAUAACUUCACGUAACUGGGGUUAAUACCGUAUCGCAUCUCCUCUUGCAUUGAGGGGGUUGGAUAGUUUCGGCGGGUGUGGAUGGAUUCGCGGGUGACCAGCUUGUUGGUGGGGUAGGUGCUUACCAAGGCUUAGACCGGUAGCCGGCCUGAGAGGGUGACCGGGGACAUUGGGCCUGCGGUACGGCCCAGACGCCAACGGGGGGCAGCAGUGGGGAAUAUUGUACAAUGAGCGGGAGUGUGAUGCAGCGACGCCGCGUGCGGAAUGACGGCCUUCGGGUUGUAAACCGCUGUCGCCUGUGACGCAGCGUGUGUGACGGUAAUCGGUGAAGAAGCACCGGCUAACUACGUG
RNAcentral lists this ribosomal RNA (468 nucleotides) under uncultured bacterium. RNAcentral's name for it is "partial 16S ribosomal RNA". It matches the Rfam family "Bacterial small subunit ribosomal RNA", at positions 28 to 507 of the family's 1533-position model. The record is from RNAcentral.